UACGUAGGGUGCGAGCGUUAAUCGGAAUUACUGGGCGUAAAGUGUGCGCAGGCGGCCAUGCAAGUCGAGUGUGAAAGCCCCGGGCUUAACUUGGGAAUUGCGCUCGAAACUACGUGGCUGGAGUGUGGCAGAGGAAGGUGGAAUUCCACGUGUAGCGGUGAAAUGCGUAGAGAUGUGGAGGAACACCGGUGGCGAAGGCGGCAUCCUGGACCGACACUGACGCUGAGGAGCGAAAGCCAGGGGAGCAAACGGG
This 253-nucleotide ribosomal RNA is filed under the name uncultured bacterium. RNAcentral describes it as "partial 16S ribosomal RNA". It matches the Rfam family "Bacterial small subunit ribosomal RNA", at positions 524 to 776 of the family's 1533-position model. The record is from RNAcentral.